CUGCAGACCAUCGUGGCCCUUUGCAGUGUUCGGAAACAUAUGCGCACCCCAGGGAGGGACACACACACACACACACACACACACACACACACACACACACACGCAAACUCACAAACACAACACACAGACAGAAAAUGACAAAUAAACACACACACUCACACACACACACACAGGAGCCCACAGAAAAAAGCAAAUAGACGCAGAAACGGGCACGUGCAGUAGUUCUGGCCACACAUGUUCCCUAGGUAUCCACAGAAUGGCAUGGGUAUUGUAUAUUCAUAAAGAUGGAGAUCAGUCAUGGAGGCCAAGGACAAGUAGGUGCACUGGUUGAACUACAGUAGAGAAUGGCAUGGAAGUGGUGAGCAAUGGACCUGGGCCUGUUUCUCAAGUGUGUAUUUGAUUUCUUUACAAUUCCCCGGAGAAGUUGUCAUGGGAGGCCAGCCGCCUGCUGGCAAGGAAGAUGGUUGAUUCUUCUGAUCAAUGGAGGCCCUGCAGAGUCCUGUAGUCACUGUGGCCUGGCAUCCAUGGUGCACCCAAUGCUGGUGGAUGGCUUAGGACGGUAAGCAUUCCUCUGCCCCACGUGCUGAAUGAGAGUGGCUUUUGGAUGUCCUAUACCUUCAAGGAGCUGUUUGUCAGCAGCGAAUGACAUGGCAAGUUCCACUCCUAGAGUGGAUGGUCUGUGCCCAUUGCUCAGUGGUGCAGCUCUGGCUUCCCCAGCAUGCUGAAUGUCUUUAAGGUCAUCAGCUCGCCCCUUCCCAGCCUGUGGUGUCAAAUGUCUUGCCCCUUGUCAAAUGUGCUUGGAUCGAUGAUGAGUCCCCUAUAAAAACAUUCCUUGGAAAAGCUGAACAAAAUGAGUGAGAACUCAUAACGUCAUUCUCAUCGGAACUGAGGUCCAGCACGUUGCCUCCUCUGGGGACUGUAGGAGCGAGGGACAACUUCCACUGGUUCCCAUGGGUUCCACCACCCAGGGCAUUUACAGAUGAAAAUCUCCUAUCACAUGCAUGUGAGGAACAUUUCCUCUGUAUGACAUAGACGGAUGGGACAGUUGUGGAGGGAUUGGCCACUCUGUGAUGUUGUGGCAGCCACGGAAGCAGGUGGAAGUGUUUUGACCUAGGGUUGUGUAUGGCUGGUCUCGGCUUGGUGAGCUCCCAGGAAGGGAGACCCGGGCCUCGCAGCAGGUGUCUUUAUGUAGAGGACCAGGUCACAGUUCCCCUGCCAAGGAGAGCAUGAGGCUCAGGCCUCAGAUAGACCUUGGUCUUCAUUUUCCACUAGCUGAUAAUGGGAGUUCCAAGGUGAUGGAGGAGAGCACAGAGCAAUGGGUGUCACCGCAGAUGGCUAAAGCCUCUUUGGCCCUCCUUCCAGCAUCAGUCACAGGUGCCCCCUGGCAUGGAUUUCUUUGCAUCCCUAGCCAUGAGAUGACCAUGGUGCAGUGACCAAGGCUUGGCCAGGAUGGUACCCCAGAGAAAAGGUGGUGAAGGGCUCAUGUGGACAUGUGUGUCAUCAGCUGCAUUGGGCUGUCACUUGGUGGUGAUGGGCUUCCCAUGGAUUUCUCUGGUGGAUGACAGGUCAGCCAGGGCGGGUCUUUGAGGGCAUGUCUCUGGGCAAGUGAGUGUCGGGAUGGUGUCUGUGGCCCUGGGUCACUUCCGGUCUUCUCAGCAGAGUAGUGGGCUCCACCGUUGUGCACACCUUUCUGGAAAUGGUCUCUUGGCAUGCAUUGUUGGGUGGCCUUACCUGCUGCAACUCAUGUGAGCAAAUAACUGCUCUGGAUCCUCUUUCCCGCUUGGAAAGCAAUUUCCAUUCUGAAGGCAUCCAGAGGGAAUGUGCCCUGGCCCUGGCCUGGGAUUCUCCAGUGGGUUCCAGUCAUGCAUGGGGCUAUCCACGGAGGUCUGUGUGCAUUCCAGGCAAUGCGUAUGCAGUCCCAGCGGCAUUGCCACAGAGAGUCUCUCGACUUGGGAUGACUCUGCGUGUUGACAGUGUUCCAGUGUUGGAUUCCGCUAUGCCCUAGGCGUGGUGAAGCAUUUCAGCUCCCUUAACUGGUUUGAAGUCUCAGCACGGCCAGGACAGGCAUGUCACGCUGAAGGGCACACAGUUGGCUUAGGAAAGCUGAAAAGGUUGGUAGUUCUACGGCUUGCAGUUCACUUAGCAGAAACGUGCUUGUGGACCCCGUGGUGUUGAGACAGUGUUGACUUAUAGGCACUGUGGUAUGUAGUAGUGAGGUCAAGUUGGCUGUGUGAUAGGAUGUUGCCUCAGAGGUCGGUGCAGGGAAGCCCUGUAGAUGUGUCCAGUGCAAGAAUGAUGACAGGCGGUGUGUCCUGUCAACCUUGUCCUUAGGGGGUCAAGUGGAGAUGUCCUCUUGGAAUAGCAGCCAUUAGCUAGGAUGUCCUGAGGGCACGGUGUGGGCAUGUGGACUGAGUGGAGGGGAGGAAGCCCGUGUCUUGAGAUUGUUUGGCUAGGUUGGGAAGACUGCCUCUGGCCUUGACACUGAGUUUCAAACUGAGGUGCUGGACUUUGCGAUGGUGCCCUCCAGUGCUGGUUGUAGUUGGUUUUCCACCACAUGUGCCUCACCUGAGAGGGCAGCCAGAGAGAGUGUCUGGUCACAACAUCAGAUGCCCUGUGAGGAGGAGUGUGUGCUCAUGCCAGGCUUGGUGGCUGUUAGGCAAGGGACCUCGGGCCCAUGUCCGCAUGGCCUCAAGGUCAAAGUUCACAUCCUACUGAUUGAAGGCCUGGGUCUUGAGCUUUUGGGUUGUGAGGAGGUUCAGGUCUAGAGGCUGCAGACUAUGACCACCCCUUGUGGUGUUGGGAAACAUAUGUGCAUGAGGGAGACACACAUACACACACACACAGACACACUCUCUCUCUCACACACACACACACACACACACACAGGCGUGCAUAGCCACAGGCAAAUAGAUUCAGCAAUGGGCACAUGCUGUCGUUUCGGUCACACACGCUUCCUAGGUCUCCACAGAGUGACACGGGUCAGGUAUAUUCAUGGUAAUGGAAGUCAAUCAUGGAGGCCAAGGAAAAGUAGGUGUGUGAGUUGCCCUGUAAGCAAGAAUGGCGUUGAAGAGGUGACCAGUGGACCUUGGUCUGUUUCUUAAGCAUGCAUGUGAUUUCUUUACACUUCUAAGGGGCAGUUGCCGUGGGAGGCCUGCCGUCUGCUGAAAGGAAGAUGGUUGAUGCUUCUGAGCAAUGAAGGCCCCAUGGAGUCCUGGAUUCGGUGUGGCCUUGCAUCCGUGGUGCACCCCGUGCUGGUGGAUGGCUCAGGACGGGGCAGUUGCCAUGGGAGGCGCAGGCCUGCUGGAAGGAAGAUGGUCGAUUCUCCCAAGCAACAAAGGCCACGUAGAGUCCUGGUUUCAGUGUGGCCUGGUAUCCACAGUGCACCCCGUGCUGGUGGGUGGCUCAGGACGCACACUCAUUUCCUCUGCACCUUCCUGGUGUCAUUGGCAUGGAAGGAAGGCCCUUGUCCAAGAAGGAUGGUCUUCGUCUUGUGUGAUCUUUGAGAUGCCAUGAGGCCCCUGGAUACAAAUGGUGUGGGCUCCUUUGGAGGCUUUUGGAUUUCUCCUGAAUGUGGCGUUGGUAUGGAAGGAAGGCCAGUGACCGCAAGGGAUGACUUUGAUCUUGGGAGAUUUUUGGAGAUGGCAAAGUGCUUCUAAACAUGUUUGGCAUGGUCUCCUUCAGGCUGGUGGAUACCUCAGGAUGGUGGCGUUGGCAUGGAAGGAAGGACUGUGUCUGUGAGGGAUGAUCAUCCUCUCAUGUGAUCCUUGGAGAUGCCAGGAAGCCCCUUGACACAUGUGGCAUGGGCUCCUUCAGAGGCUUUUGGAUCCGUCGUGAAUGUGGCAUGGGCAUGCAAAGAAAGACAGAGGCUGCAAGGGAUAAACUUCAUCUUGGGAGAUCCCUGGAGAUGGCAGGGAACCCAUGGACACAUGUGGCAUGGGCUCCUUUGGGUGCCGGUGGAUCCCUUCAUACGGUAUGUGUUCAUUUCUCAAAAGACCCUAAUGUUCUUCCUUUACAGGAAUGAAUACUGUGCAUGGACCAAUGAUGACUUCCAUACAUGCAUUCCUUGGAAAGCUGAACAAAAUGAGUGGGAACUCUGUACUAUCAUCUUAGUUGAACUGAGGUCCACCGGGGGCUAUAGAGGGACAACUGUCAUUUUUUUUGAUGCCCGUUGCAUGAAGCAUUCUUCCAGGCUUAGGAAGGGAUUCCGUUUGGGUGAAGGAGAGUCACAGGGGAGUUGAGGCUAUGUGCACAGGACUUCUGUCUACAAGGCUGGGGUAGCACACAUGCAGUCCGUGGGACUAGGUGAAUGUGCAGGUUGCUCAGGGAGAGUUAACCUGUAGCCUGCCUCUGGGUGGCCAAGAUUGUCCUUGACUCCUGGCUCUGGGUUCCCACAACCCCUGGAGGAAGACAAGUAAUUGUGCUUGGGAAGAGAGAACAAGGCCAUACUUUUGCCUUUCUUUUUUUCAUUCUUAGUUUGAGAACAGUGGAGUUCCAAUCACCUGGCAUAGCUUUCAUGUUGUGUUCCAUGCAUUGUGAGUACAUGCAUAUGGCAGGAACACACAGGUUCCCACUGCAAGCUGAGCCUGAUAGGCAAGGAGUCUCUAGCUUAACCCCAGCCCAGUGUACGUCAAUGGCUUCCUCAUUAAAAUUGCAUGGCCCUGUAGCUUUUGUGAGUGACAUUAUAGGUAUCGAUGUAAGGGUGUUGAGAGGGAUGCUCAAUGUCAGUGCUCUUUAGUGUGCUGAUGCACUACUACAAGGGCACCUGAGCCCUUGUCCAUGCAUUUCUGUGUCCAAAAUCAGGUAAAGCCAGAGUUGGGUAUCAACCAGAUACACUGCAGGGGAUCAGAGGACAUGGCCUUUGUGUACUGCACAUCUGUCAGAUUUUCUCAAGCACACCCGUGUUUCCUCUUCACCUCCCACGUGGAAGUGAUGAAUUGGCCAGGACCAUGUUGGUGAGGGACAAUCAUCAUCUCAUGUUAACCUCAGAGAAGCCAGGAAGCUCCUGGACACACAUGGUGUAGGCUUCCUUGGAGGCUGUUGGAUCUCUCCUGAAUGUAGUGUUGGUGUAAAAGGCAAACCCGUGUCAUGAGGGAUGGUCAUCAUCUUGUGUGAUCCUUGGAGAUGGCAGGAAGCCCUGGACAUACAUGGUGUGGGGGCUCCUCCAGAGGCUGUUGGGAUCCUCCUGGAUGUGGUGUGGGCAUGGAAGGAAGGCCAGUGGAGACAAUGGAUGAUCUUGUUCUUAGCAGAUCACUGGAUGUGGCAGGGAGUCCUAGGACAUGUGUGGUGUGGGCUUCUUCAGGUGCUGGUGGUGUUGGCAUGAGGAAAGGAGGUAUCUUCGAGGGACAAUCUUCUUCUUGUGCGAUCCUUGGAGAUGCCAUGAGGCCCCUGGACACAUGUGGUGUGGGCUCCUUUGGAGGCUGUUGUAUCCCUUCUGAAUGUGGCGUGGGCAUAGAAGGAAGGCCAGUGGCCACGAGGGACAAUCUUGGUCUUGGGAGAUCCUGGAAAUGAUAGGGAGUCCCUUGAUAUGUGUGGCAUGGGCUCCUUCAGGAAGCCCCUGGAAACACAUGGUGUGGACUCUUUCACAGGCUGUUGAAACCCUCCUGAAUGUGAGGCCAGAGACAGGCAGACAGCAGAUGUAUUGCAGGGAGCUGGAUGACAUGGCCCUUGGAACCUGUGCACAUGCCUGCCUUUCUGAUGCACGUCCAUGUUUUCUCUGCACCUCCCCGGUGGUGUUGGUAUAAAAAGCAGGCUUACAUCAGCAAGGGAUGAUUGUCGUCUCAUGCGAUCCUGGGAGAUGGCAGAAGUCCCGGGACACAUGGAGUGUGGGCUCUUUCGGAGGCUGUUGGAUCCCUCCUGAAUGUGUUGUGGCCAUGGAAGUAAGGCCAGUGGCUACGAGGGACAGUCUUCAUCUUGGGAGAUCCCUAGAGAGGGCAGGGAGCCCCUUGACAUGUGGAAUGUGAUCUCUGUUGGGUGCUGGUGGAUCCCACAGGUGGUCUGGCAUGGAAGAAGGCCAGAGGCUGCGAUGGAUCAUCUUUGUCUUGGGAGAUUCCUGGAGAUGGUGGGGAGCCCCUGGGCACGUGCAGCAUAUGUGGCGUGGGCUUCUUCAGGUGCUGGUGGAUCCCUCAGGAUGGUAAAUGUCCAUUUUCCAAAAUCUUCUGAUAUUCCAUCUUUGUAGGUACAAAGACUGUGCAUGGAUCGAUGAUGACUUUUAUACAUGCAUUCCUUGGAAAGCUGAACAAAAUGAGUGAAAACUCUAUACCGUCAUCUUCGUUGAACUGAGGUCCAGCACAUUGCUCCAACAGUGGGUAGAUAGAGAGGGAAAACUUCCAUUUGUUGACGCAGGUUCCAUUGAGGGGUUUGUCCAGGCUUAGGAUGGGGUCCCCUUUGGGCAAAGGGAGUCACAGGGGAGUGCGGCCUCCUGUGCACAGGAGAUUCCUUGUGUGAAGGAUUUACCUCUGUGAGAGCAGGGUAGCACACAUAACUAUGCAGGAGCAGGUGAAUGUGCAGGUGGCACAGGAAGAGUUAGAUGGCAGCCUGUCUCUGCACAGCGAGGUUUGACUUGUCCUAGCUCUGCAUUCCCUCAUCCCUUAGAGGAAGUUGGUUUCUUCAGAAGACUUAAAUUUGUGGAAUUCAGUAGAAUAUUAUCCACAUAAUGUUCCCAGUGAAUGCUAGGCAUAUCACCCAAGAUGGCCAGGCCUCUGGCCAUAAACCAUAGUAAAUAGUAGGGUGUGCAUAUAUCCAUUAGGGAGAACCUGAAAGGUCCUUUUUUGGCCCUCCAAGGUGAAUGCCUGCAAAAGCAAGCGAAGCACGCUAUCUGCCUGCAUGAGCCCCAUGUACCUGGCGUGGCCUGUGCUCCUCACCGUGUGUCCCACUUCUGCUGCCCCUUCGCCUUGCCAGGUGGAGUCUGACUGAUUUUUUGCCACUGCUGCCACCACAGGCCACCUGGAGCCCCAGCCAGUUUGAGGAAAGUGGCUCUGCUUGAUUUUCCUUUUUUCUUUUUUUUUCCUCUUUUUUUCUCCAUUUCUGACUUCAGCAGGUGGGACUUGGAGCUUCUGCUUCUGCAGCCACAGAAGACUCCCCAGUUUGGAGGGCUGUGGUUGUGGGCUCCCUAAGCAUCUCUCUGCAGAGCCUCUUUGUUUUCCAUUUUACCCACCAUGUCAAUAAUUUAACACAGUGGCGGAGGAGUUCAUGUCUCUUCCUAUUUGUCAUUACUCUUCUAACUUUCACAGCUGUACUCGGCUACUGGUCAGAAUAAGAGAAAAAGCAGUGGAACCAGGAGGAUCCUACAAGAAAUAUUCCAUUUCACUUUUGUUUGUGCAUAUACCUUUUCUGUUUAAAUGUGGACUUCGAUUUGAUAUGCUUCCAGUGCAGACACAGAUCCCAUAUGUAAGAGAGUAUGGAGUUGCAUAGAAAGAAGACUUGUCAUUUUCCUGUACUGUUGGUGUUCUAAUCUGUCUUCGUGGUUUUUGCCUCUUCUGGCUUUAGAAGAUACACCAACAUGGUUUUGCAACAUAGCCUCUUCUUAUUUUAGUAAGGGACCAAAUGUGCAUGUCAGUAACAGGUGUUACCUUGAAUUGGGAUCAGUGCUUGUGUGACUAUAUUCAGUGAUGUCAUUUUCUGUCACACUCAAGUCACAAAAUAUUUAACCACUUAUUUUUUUAUCUCUGGAGGAAUAAUCCAAAAGAUUGUACUGGUAAAGCCAGAACAAUUUCCAAUUAUGCUAAUUAUUUGUAUAAUACUUAGUUGGCUUUAUCUGUGGUUUGUUGGCUUAUUUUCCUGUAGCUUUUCAAGGUUUUUCUAUGAGUUCUGUUAAAGAGUCUGAAAAUGGAGCGUAGAAGACAUGCUUCGAUUUCCAGGAUGGUUGUGUUUUCCAGAGAGGCGGAGGUAAACCACUGGCGCAGCCCUGCCUCCCACAGAUAAUUCCGGGUGCAGUGUUUCAUAUCUAGACUUGGACUUCUAUCCUACCAUACUUCUUUGUGUGCAGGUAUUUUUGGGGAUAAAAUCCUUGUUUUCAGCUGUAUAGAUGUCUUGCACAUACUCUUUUGAUGGUUUGAUUUAUCCAUUGUGUUCAGCACGUUUCAGUGAGCAAGAUAUGGGAUUUAAUUUCCAAUAUAAAAUCCAUGA
RNAcentral lists this long non-coding RNA (8124 nucleotides) under Homo sapiens (human). RNAcentral's name for it is "HSALNT0380146". The stretch from base 6193 to 6284 matches the Rfam family "Small nucleolar RNA SNORD116". The record is from RNAcentral. Lineage: Eukaryota; Metazoa; Chordata; Mammalia; Primates; Hominidae.